Long non-coding RNA from Vespula pensylvanica (western yellowjacket), 3972 nucleotides. RefSeq lists it as uncharacterized. The record is from RefSeq and is a predicted model, not a curated record. NCBI's taxonomy places the organism in Eukaryota, Metazoa, Arthropoda, Insecta, Hymenoptera, Vespidae. The transcript is spliced from 2 exons.
AUAUAUUUUUAUGAAAACUAAAUUUGAUAUGCAUACAAUAGCGUUAUUUUUAUUUAACAUACGAACACACAGUCACGCAAUAUCGACACACACACAUAUAUAUAUACACAUACAUAUAUAUUUAUAUAUAUUUAUAUAAUAUAAAUAUGUAUAUACAUAUAUAUAUACAUGUGUAAAAAAUACACAUGUACAUGAUCGAACAAAUAAAUAUACACUCUGCCUUUCUCUCUACAUACGUGAGAUCAUAUUAAAAAUACACAUACAAACAUAUUGUGACCUAUAAUUUUUCGAUAUUAUACGUACAUACGCGUAUAUAAGCGUGCGUUUGUAGAACGGAGUCAGUGAGCUUGUAUGUGAGAGCAUGCAUUUUAUAACUCGUUGUAAAAUAUAUAUAAAAGAAAAGAAGUUAAACAAACAAAAACAAAAAAAAAGGAAAAGGAAAAAUGGAAUAACAUUCGGUGAGUACGCACAUUUGAAAUACUCCGUACGAAAUACACACGCGUUAAAUCUAUACGUAUUUUAUCACAGCAUUUUUCAUACUAACACAAAAGAACAACAAACAAAACAAACUUCAUCACACGCUCACAAGUAUACGUACGAGUGUGCGAAAAAAACGCACACGUGGAACACACUAAUUGUGGCCUUAUCCGCACGAAUACAUAGAGAAUAACUAACGUUUUACGAUAUGUAAUAUAUUAUGUAUAUCGUAUCGAAUGAUACUUAAUACGUAUGAAAGGAAAAAACGUAACGUCGGAUACGAUAAUGAAAAAUGAAAGGUGAAAAGUGAAAAAUGGAAAAAAAAAAAAUAAAAAAAAUACAAAAGAAAAAUAUCCUGACGAAUAAGUUACAUUCGUCAUAUGUUCUUACGGAUCGACUCACAUACUAAUCGCCUUAAUUAGUAAAACAGAUUAUAAAAAGAGAUUAUUCUAUAUUCAACGUAUGGCAUACACUGUUACACUGUAAAAUUGAUCAAAUAAAUGUAAUUAUUUACAAACGAAAAACUCGGAUUUUCUAAACGAGUUUACGUUCCAUGGAUCUUUAAAUAUCAACAACGUGAAAGUUAUUUCGAUUAAUUUUGGAUGAAGAUGGCAAAAAUGAAAUUGAUCAAGGAUAAAGAUAGAUCUCUUACGAUCGAGAUGAUAGAAAAAUGGACAUUGAAAUUCGCAGAUGCACGUUGGCUAUGCAACGUCCCACGUGCGAAAGAAGGAGCGAACGAACGAAGCAGUGCUCGGGGUAAAGCGAGGUCGAUGGAAAGUGGCAUAAUCGCGGAUGUGGAUUGGCUCAAGGAGAGCACAGGAGGAGAUCCUUUACCUUACUUAUGUAACGAGCGAGCGCGACCGUGGUGUCUCGUGUCUUCGACCGCAUCUCUUUAAGAGGAAGAGAGUAUGCAAGAGUGAAAGAAAGGAAGACAGAUAGAUAGAAAGAGAGAGAGAGGAAGAGAAAGAGAUAGAGAGAGAGAGAGAGAGAGAGAGAGAGAGAGAGAUGUACCCCUUCUCUUUUACACUCCUUUACCCUCCCAUCCUUACUUCCAAUCACCGCACUGUCCCUGAAAAUCCCACUGCUGCUUCUAACUUUUUCUCCCCACCAUUAGCCAAUGCAAAUCGCUUCUCGUAUACUUCUACCUCCCUUUUCCUCUUCCCUUUCGUUUCUUCCCACAUUCGACGUACCAAUUAAUUAAACGUACUCGAACGUUUCGAGCAAUCUUCCAUCGUUCGUUACAGAGGUAAGAUCUCUUUAUCUUUGUUUCCCUUUCGAUUUUCUUCUUCAUGGAUGAUUAUAAAUAGUCUGAUAAUAUUUUAUAAUGUUAAAAUGUGUCUAUUUAAACGACUUGAAAAAUGUUUAUACAAGAAUAUAAAGGAAAGAAAAAUAUAAUAUUAUCGCGACAGAGAUAUAUAUCGGAUUUGAAGGAAAUAUUCGUAUUAUCGUUGGACCUUGCAUAAAACGAAGGAAACAUUCUCAAGAAACAAAACUUAUCGAAGAGGUUUCUCCUCGUUAGCCUAGUCCUCAUGACGAACGGAUACGAGUGAGCGCGUUUAUAUCAUGCAUUCCGCGUAGGCGCGUGCCGAGGCGAGAAAAGCGAUUUCCUUGCGCGCUAUCGCGAGAGUGAAUAUCCUGUAAUUACAUGUUACGUCUCUUGUAAGAGUACAAAAUCAAUGCCAGGUUCAAUGUCGAAGUCGGUUUCUCAAGACGUCGACUAAGGAAAUUCUUUCUUCCAUGAAAAACUAAUAUCUAUUUGUAUCUUUACGUUUCUGCUUUUACAUUUCCUAUGCUCUGUCUAUCUUUUCCUUGACUUUAUAACAAAUCGAUUACGUUCAUUAGUCGCCUUAAUCGAAAGUCUAUCGUGAUUAUUAAUUAUUUAAAGUGAACUUUAUAAGGUACUUUAUAAGGUAGUCUUUUAUUCAUGUAUCUAAUAACUGUUCAAUCUGUAGAUAAUAAGAAAGAGAAAAUAGUAAGAUUUUUAUAUAAAAACGAUCGAAAUUGUAUUAUUGACUGUUGUAAUAUUUUUAAUACCAUCUUGAAUCAAUAUUCAUAAUACCAUUGAAAAUAUUUUUCUUCUUUCGAUCAUUUUUACGCAAAUCACUUUAUUUAUAUUAAUGAUUAAUCUUUUUUCAAGGACAUAUGAAUUUAUUACAAAUCUUUUUAUAACGUCCUUUUAAAUAUCAAAAUUCGAUUAUUUUCUUUUAUAGGAUGAUACGAUCCUCUCUUCAAGAUUAACACGCGUGUAGAUCAGACAAGGACGGACCGUAAACAUCUAAAUCUACCAUGAAGGAAUUGUGGCCUUGGCCACGGAUUUCAAACAUUUUUUUUUUAAAGCCUCCUACGAUCUAACAGACGUAACGUUACAUCCUCGAUAGUCCGGUUUAUAAUCUUCGAGGGUCCUACUUUGGACCAUCUGACUCGUUUCAUUUUAUUUUUUCUUUCUGUUUUUUUUUUUUCUUUCUUUUUUCCUUUUCGAAGGUUCCUCUCAUCGUUCCUCUUAUAGUCGGAUUACGAAUCCUUUUCGUCAACCUCGAACGCAGAGGUCGUAUGAAAUAUUGUUCAUUUUUUAUUUUGUCGAUGCUUAAAUUUAUAUAAUCUUUGAAAUAUGUAAUACUGGUAAAUUUUGUAAUAGUAAUCAAUUAUGAAAGUAAGAAUGAACUCAUAAAUCGUAGAGAAAAGAGUAUGAAAAAAAUAAUAAAUGAUAAUUUCUAAAGGUGUUACAAUAGCGAUCGAUCGAAGGAUGAUUUCGACACCGAAAAUAAGGUUCUUCAUUGUCAGAGGUCGACCGUAGGUUCAACGUUCGGGCCGUUUACCUGUAACCGACCUCGAAUCUUUGGCCAAUGACAUUGCGGAAAGUAACAUUAGCAUUUUGUACGAGUCGUCCACGGAAGAUAAAGGCUGUAAGCAUGAUCUUACGUACGUAUAUAUGUACGUUCAUACGUAGGAAAACAUCGAUGCGAAUAUUAUUUUUAAAAUAUUUUUCACAUAAUACUUAGGUAUCUAGUUUAAAGAAAUCGUUAUGAUGAAAAUAUGUUCGGAAAAAAAACGAGUCGAAGUUCUUUGCCCUUUGAAUAUAAAAUUGAAACAAAUAAGAGACAGAGAGAGAAAGAGAGAGAGAGAGAGAGAGAGAGAGAGAGAGAGAGAGAGAAAUAAGAGACUACUAUGUAAUACAUAAAAAAAAAGUGACGUAAACUUCGAAUGUUUCUUGAAAAGGGCUGAUUAUUUAUGCUACGACCUUCGACGCGGACAGGUGCGAUACGGCUGGCUUGUACGUAAUUCCGUCGCUUGUAAACAUUUUAUAACGCUAUAAAUAUUAACCGCAGUACCCGUAUUACCGUACACAUUUGCGUACGUACGUAUCUUUUAUAUAACGAGAUGCUUGUUGAUGCGAAUCUCGAGCGUUUUCGAAUGGAGGAAGCGUUGGAUCCAGUUAUAUCUCGGUGGAUCCUGAUAAAUCGAAAGGUUUUAAUAAUAAAAAUAUCGAUAAGAGAA